AGACCACAAAGUCACAUGGCACAGGGGUCAAAGAUUUAUCGCUUAUGGAUGGGCUCGCGUCUGAUUAGCUACUUGGCAGGGUAAAGGCCUACCAAGGCGACGAUCAGUAGCCGACCUGAGAGGGUGAUCGGCCACACUGGAACUGAGACACGGUCCAGACUCUUACGGGAGGCAGCACUGGGGAAUAUUGGGCAAUGGGGGAAACCCUGACCCAGCAACGCCGCGUGAGGGAAGAAGGCUUUCGAGUUGUAAACCUCUGUCUUAUGGGAAGAAGAAGUGACAGUACCAUAGGAGGAAGCUCCGGCUAACUACGUGCCAGCAGCCGCGGUAAUACGUAGGGAGCAAGCGUUGUCCGGAAUUACUGGGCGUAAAGGGUGCGUAGGCGGCGCAGUGAGUCAGAAGUGAAAUAUCCGGGGCUUAACCCCGGGGCUGCUUCUGAUACUGCUGUGCUUGAGUGCAGGAGAGGUAAGCGGAAUUCCUAGUGUAGCGGUGAAAUGCGUAGAUAUUAGGAGGAACACCAGUGGCGAAGGCGGCUUACUGGACU
This 544-nucleotide ribosomal RNA is filed under the name uncultured Bacillota bacterium. RNAcentral's name for it is "bacterial SSU rRNA". It matches the Rfam family "Bacterial small subunit ribosomal RNA", at positions 173 to 735 of the family's 1533-position model. Lineage: Bacteria; Bacillati; Bacillota. The record is from RNAcentral.